GACGAACGCUGGCGGCGUGCUUAACACAUGCAAGUCGAACGGUGACGCGCCUUCCUUUUUGGUGGGUGUGGAUGAGUGGCGAACGGGUGAGUAACACGUGAGUAACCUGCCCCCUUCUUCUGGAUAACCGCAUGAAAGUGUGGCUAAUACGGGAUAUUCUGGGUCUGUCUCAUGAUGGGUCUGGGAAAGAUAUUGUUUCGGUAGGGGCUGGGCUCGCGGCCUAUCAGCUGGUUGGUGGGGUGAUGGCCUACCAAGGCUGUGACGGGUAGCCGGCCAGAGCGGGUGCACGGGCAGACUGGAGCGGAGGAACGGCCAAGACGCGAAUGAGACGCAGCAGUGGGGAAUACGGCACGAUGGGGGGAAGCCUGAUGCAGCGUGGCCGCGUGAGUGAUGGAGGCCUUCGGGUUGAGAGCCGCAUUCGUUAGUGAAGCAGGCCUGCCUCGUUUGUGAGGGUGUUGACGGUAGCGGGAUAAGAAGCGCCGGCUAACUACGUG
Molecule: ribosomal RNA, 494 nt
Filed under: uncultured bacterium
Lineage: Bacteria
Description: partial 16S ribosomal RNA
Rfam family: Bacterial small subunit ribosomal RNA
Source: RNAcentral